RNAcentral lists this ribosomal RNA (502 nucleotides) under uncultured bacterium. RNAcentral describes it as "bacterial SSU rRNA". It matches the Rfam family "Bacterial small subunit ribosomal RNA", at positions 8 to 507 of the family's 1533-position model. The record is from RNAcentral.
AGAGUUUGAUCAUGGCUCAGAUUGAACGCUGGCGGCAUGCUUUACACAUGCAAGUCGAGCGGCAGCGCGGGGGCAACCCUGGCGGCGAGCGGCGAACGGGUGAGUAAUGCAUCGGAACGUACCCUGGAGUGGGGGAUAACGCCGCGAAAGCGGCGCUAAUACCGCAUAUGCUCUGAGGAGGAAAGUGGGGACCGCAAGGCCUCACGCUCUGGGAGCGGCCGAUGUCCGAUUAGCUAGUUGGUGGGGUAAAGGCUUACCAAGGCGACGAUCGGUAGCUGGUCUGAGAGGAUGAUCAGCCACACUGGGACUGAGACACGGCCCAGACUCCUACGGGAGGCAGCAGUGGGGAAUUUUGGACAAUGGGGCAACCCUGAUCCAGCCAUGCCGCGUGAGUGAAGAAGGCCUUCGGGUUGUAAAGCUCUUUUGGUCGGGAAGAAAGCGCCUUGCCUAAUACGCGAGGUGGUUGACGGUACCGGCAGAAUAAGCACCGGCUAACUACGUG